UCCCUGGUAGCUCAGAUGGUAAAGUGUCUGCCUACAACGUGGGAGAUCCAGGUUCGAUCCCUGGGUCGGGAA
RNAcentral lists this transfer RNA (72 nucleotides) under Bos taurus (domestic cattle). It matches the Rfam family "tRNA". From Rfam's summary of the family: Transfer RNA (tRNA) molecules are approximately 80 nucleotides in length. Their secondary structure includes four short double-helical elements and three loops (D, anti-codon, and T loops). Further hydrogen bonds mediate the characteristic L-shaped molecular structure. tRNAs have two regions of fundamental functional importance: the anti-codon, which is responsible for specific mRNA codon recognition, and the 3' end, to which the tRNAs corresponding amino acid is attached (by aminoacyl-tRNA synthetases). tRNAs cope with the degeneracy of the genetic code in two manners: having more than one tRNA (with a specific anti-codon) for a particular amino acid; and 'wobble' base-pairing, i.e. permitting non-standard base-pairing at the 3rd anti-codon position. The record is from Rfam by way of RNAcentral. RNAcentral also lists the same sequence under 2 other names. Lineage: Eukaryota; Metazoa; Chordata; Mammalia; Artiodactyla; Bovidae.